Molecule: ribosomal RNA, 679 nt
Filed under: uncultured bacterium
Lineage: Bacteria
Description: bacterial SSU rRNA
Rfam family: Bacterial small subunit ribosomal RNA
Source: RNAcentral
UGCAGUCGAGCGGACAGAUGGGAGCUUGCUCCCUGAUGUUAGCGGCGGACGGGUGAGUAACACGUGGGUAACCUGCCUGUAAGACUGGGAUAACUCCGGGAAACCGGGGCUAAUACCGGAUGGUUGUNUGAACCGCAUGGUUCAGACAUAAAAGGUGGCUUCGGCUACCACUUACAGAUGGACCCGCGGCGCAUUAGCUAGUUGGUGAGGUAACGGCUCACCAAGGCGACGAUGCGUAGCCGACCUGAGAGGGUGAUCGGCCACACUGGGACUGAGACACGGCCCAGACUCCUACGGGAGGCAGCAGUAGGGAAUCUUCCGCAAUGGACGAAAGUCUGACGGAGCAACGCCGCGUGAGUGAUGAAGGUUUUCGGAUCGUAAAGCUCUGUUGUUAGGGAAGAACAAGUGCCGUUCAAAUAGGGCGGCACCUUGACGGUACCUAACCAGAAAGCCACGGCUAACUACGUGCCAGCAGCCGCGGUAAUACGUAGGUGGCAAGCGUUGUCCGGAAUUAUUGGGCGUAAAGGGCUCGCAGGCGGUUUCUUAAGUCUGAUGUGAAAGCCCCCGGCUCAACCGGGGAGGGUCAUUGGAAACUGGGGAACUUGAGUGCAGAAGAGGAGAGUGGAAUUCCACGUGUAGCGGUGAAAUGCGUAGAGAUGUGGAGGAACACCAGUGGCGA